UGUGCCGGGACUACGCCGGGUGAGAGCGGCGUGUGCCGCCCUGUGAAUCCGGCGGGGUGCCU
RNAcentral lists this non-coding RNA (62 nucleotides) under Pyrobaculum aerophilum str. IM2. RNAcentral's name for it is "Pyrobac-1 RNA". It matches the Rfam family "Pyrobac-1 RNA". From Rfam's summary of the family: The motif has been shown by to be part of sRNA202 and sRNA203 canonical and noncanonical pseudouridine guide RNA (H/ACA RNA). Lineage: Archaea; Thermoproteati; Thermoproteota; Thermoprotei; Thermoproteales; Thermoproteaceae. The record is from Rfam by way of RNAcentral.